AUAUUGGACAAUUGUGGCAACCCUGAUCCAGCCAUCCCGCGUGUGUCAAGAAGGUCUUCGGAUUGUAAGGCACUUUACGGUGGGAGGAUGGGCGUUAGGCUAAUACCCUGAAGUUUUGACGUUACCAACAUAAUAAUCACCGGCUAACUUCGUGCCAGCAGCCGCGGUAAUACAGAGGGUGCAAGCGUUAAUCGGAAUUCCUGGGCGUAAAGCGCGCGUAGGUGGUUCAGUAAGAUGGGUGAGAAAUCCCCGGGCUUAACCUGGGAACUGCUUUCAUAACUGCUGAGCUAGAGUACGGUAGAGGGUAGUGGAAUUUCCUGUGUAGCGGUGAAAUGCGUAGAUAUAGGAAGGAACACCAGUGGCGAAGGCGACUACCUGGACUGAUACUGACACUGAGGUGCGAAAGCGUGGGGAGCGAACA
This 421-nucleotide ribosomal RNA is filed under the name uncultured bacterium. RNAcentral describes it as "partial 16S ribosomal RNA". It matches the Rfam family "Bacterial small subunit ribosomal RNA", at positions 361 to 774 of the family's 1533-position model. The record is from RNAcentral.